RNAcentral lists this ribosomal RNA (405 nucleotides) under uncultured bacterium. Its description in RNAcentral is "bacterial SSU rRNA". It matches the Rfam family "Bacterial small subunit ribosomal RNA", at positions 353 to 774 of the family's 1533-position model. The record is from RNAcentral.
UGACGGAAGUAUUGCACAAUGGAGGAAACGUCUGAUGCAGCAACGCCGCGUGGAGGAUGACGCAUUUCGGUGUGUAAACUCCUUUUAUGAGUCAAGAAAAUGACGGUAGCUCAUGAAUAAGCACCGGCUAACUCCGUGCCAGCAGCCGCGGUAAUACGGAGGGUGCAAGCGUUAUUCGGAAUCACUGGGCGUAAAGGACGCGUAGGCGGGAAGCCAAGUCUGAUGUGAAAUCCUAUGGCUUAACCAUAGAACUGCAUUGGAAACUGGUUACCUAGAGUAUGGGAGGGGGAGAUGGAAUUAGUGGUGUAGGGGUAAAAUCCGUAGAUAUCACUAGGAAUACCGAAAGCGAAGGCGAUCUCCUGGAACAAUACUGACGCUAAGGCGUGAAAGCGUGGGGAGCAAACG